AGGUCAAGAAAAUAUAAAGUAAUAGGAAUUCAAGUAGAGCAAAAUGGCUGAACACAAUUCGGAUCAGAAUUACGAAAACCCUGCAUAUCAAACUGACGAGCAAAAUCCAUAUGAAGUCUUGGAAAACGAGGAUGCCGAAGGAUAUAUUUCGAUAAAAAAUAUUAAAGCAACCCCUAAAGCGUUAGGAAGAGACCUGGAAGAAAAUCAUCGAAAAUCAUCAAAGACCUUUGCAAAAACAG
Long non-coding RNA from Saccostrea cuccullata (small rock oyster), 239 nucleotides. RefSeq lists it as uncharacterized. The record is from RefSeq and is a predicted model, not a curated record. Lineage: Eukaryota; Metazoa; Mollusca; Bivalvia; Ostreida; Ostreidae. The transcript has 4 exons.